This 2931-nucleotide ribosomal RNA is filed under the name Escherichia coli. RNAcentral's name for it is "bacterial LSU rRNA". It matches the Rfam family "Bacterial large subunit ribosomal RNA". The record is from RNAcentral. Lineage: Bacteria; Pseudomonadati; Pseudomonadota; Gammaproteobacteria; Enterobacterales; Enterobacteriaceae.
GGGUUGUGAGGUUAAGCGACUAAGCGUACACGGUGGAUGCCCUGGCAGUCAGAGGCGAUGAAGGACGUGCUAAUCUGCGAUAAGCGUCGGUAAGGUGAUAUGAACCGUUAUAACCGGCGAUUUCCGAAUGGGGAAACCCAGUGUGAUUCGUCACACUAUCAUUAACUGAAUCCAUAGGUUAAUGAGGCGAACCGGGGGAACUGAAACAUCUAAGUACCCCGAGGAAAAGAAAUCAACCGAGAUUCCCCCAGUAGCGGCGAGCGAACGGGGAGCAGCCCAGAGCCUGAAUCAGUGUGUGUGUUAGUGGAAGCGUCUGGAAAGGCGCGCGAUACAGGGUGACAGCCCCGUACACAAAAAUGCACAUGCUGUGAGCUCGAUGAGUAGGGCGGGACACGUGGUAUCCUGUCUGAAUAUGGGGGGACCAUCCUCCAAGGCUAAAUACUCCUGACUGACCGAUAGUGAACCAGUACCGUGAGGGAAAGGCGAAAAGAACCCCGGCGAGGGGAGUGAAAAAGAACCUGAAACCGUGUACGUACAAGCAGUGGGAGCACGCUUAGGCGUGUGACUGCGUACCUUUUGUAUAAUGGGUCAGCGACUUAUAUUCUGUAGCAAGGUUAACCGAAUAGGGGAGCCGAAGGGAAACCGAGUCUUAACUGGGCGUUAAGUUGCAGGGUAUAGACCCGAAACCCGGUGAUCUAGCCAUGGGCAGGUUGAAGGUUGGGUAACACUAACUGGAGGACCGAACCGACUAAUGUUGAAAAAUUAGCGGAUGACUUGUGGCUGGGGGUGAAAGGCCAAUCAAACCGGGAGAUAGCUGGUUCUCCCCGAAAGCUAUUUAGGUAGCGCCUCGUGAAUUCAUCUCCGGGGGUAGAGCACUGUUUCGGCAAGGGGGUCAUCCCGACUUACCAACCCGAUGCAAACUGCGAAUACCGGAGAAUGUUAUCACGGGAGACACACGGCGGGUGCUAACGUCCGUCGUGAAGAGGGAAACAACCCAGACCGCCAGCUAAGGUCCCAAAGUCAUGGUUAAGUGGGAAACGAUGUGGGAAGGCCCAGACAGCCAGGAUGUUGGCUUAGAAGCAGCCAUCAUUUAAAGAAAGCGUAAUAGCUCACUGGUCGAGUCGGCCUGCGCGGAAGAUGUAACGGGGCUAAACCAUGCACCGAAGCUGCGGCAGCGACGCUUAUGCGUUGUUGGGUAGGGGAGCGUUCUGUAAGCCUGCGAAGGUGUGCUGUGAGGCAUGCUGGAGGUAUCAGAAGUGCGAAUGCUGACAUAAGUAACGAUAAAGCGGGUGAAAAGCCCGCUCGCCGGAAGACCAAGGGUUCCUGUCCAACGUUAAUCGGGGCAGGGUGAGUCGACCCCUAAGGCGAGGCCGAAAGGCGUAGUCGAUGGGAAACAGGUUAAUAUUCCUGUACUUGGUGUUACUGCGAAGGGGGGACGGAGAAGGCUAUGUUGGCCGGGCGACGGUUGUCCCGGUUUAAGCGUGUAGGCUGGUUUUCCAGGCAAAUCCGGAAAACUAAGGCUGAGGCGUGAUGACGAGGCACUACGGUGCUGAAGCAACAAAUGCCCUGCUUCCAGGAAAAGCCUCUAAGCAUCAGGUAACAUCAAAUCGUACCCCAAACCGACACAGGUGGUCAGGUAGAGAAUACCAAGGCGCUUGAGAGAACUCGGGUGAAGGAACUAGGCAAAAUGGUGCCGUAACUUCGGGAGAAGGCACGCUGAUAUGUAGGUGAAGUCCCUCGCGGAUGGAGCUGAAAUCAGUCGAAGAUACCAGCUGGCUGCAACUGUUUAUUAAAAACACAGCACUGUGCAAACACGAAAGUGGACGUAUACGGUGUGACGCCUGCCCGGUGCCGGAAGGUUAAUUGAUGGGGUCAGCGCAAGCGAAGCUCUUGAUCGAAGCCCCGGUAAACGGCGGCCGUAACUAUAACGGUCCUAAGGUAGCGAAAUUCCUUGUCGGGUAAGUUCCGACCUGCACGAAUGGCGUAAUGAUGGCCAGGCUGUCUCCACCCGAGACUCAGUGAAAUUGAACUCGCUGUGAAGAUGCAGUGUACCCGCGGCAAGACGGAAAGACCCCGUGAACCUUUACUAUAGCUUGACACUGAACAUUGAGCCUUGAUGUGUAGGAUAGGUGGGAGGCUUUGAAGUGUGGACGCCAGUCUGCAUGGAGCCGACCUUGAAAUACCACCCUUUAAUGUUUGAUGUUCUAACGUUGACCCGUGAUCCGGGUUGCGGACAGUGUCUGGUGGGUAGUUUGACUGGGGCGGUCUCCUCCUAAAGAGUAACGGAGGAGCACGAAGGUUGGCUAAUCCUGGUCGGACAUCAGGAGGUUAGUGCAAUGGCAUAAGCCAGCUUGACUGCGAGCGUGACGGCGCGAGCAGGUGCGAAAGCAGGUCAUAGUGAUCCGGUGGUUCUGAAUGGAAGGGCCAUCGCUCAACGGAUAAAAGGUACUCCGGGGAUAACAGGCUGAUACCGCCCAAGAGUUCAUAUCGACGGCGGUGUUUGGCACCUCGAUGUCGGCUCAUCACAUCCUGGGGCUGAAGUAGGUCCCAAGGGUAUGGCUGUUCGCCAUUUAAAGUGGUACGCGAGCUGGGUUUAGAACGUCGUGAGACAGUUCGGUCCCUAUCUGCCGUGGGCGCUGGAGAACUGAGGGGGGCUGCUCCUAGUACGAGAGGACCGGAGUGGACGCAUCACUGGUGUUCGGGUUGUCAUGCCAAUGGCACUGCCCGGUAGCUAAAUGCGGAAGAGAUAAGUGCUGAAAGCAUCUAAGCACGAAACUUGCCCCGAGAUGAGUUCUCCCUGACUCCUUGAGAGUCCUGAAGGAACGUUGAAGACGACGACGUUGAUAGGCCGGAUGUGUAAGCGCAGCGAUGCGUUGAGCUAACCGGUACUAAUGAACCGUGAGGCUUAACCUUACAACGCCGAAGGUGUUU